RNAcentral lists this ribosomal RNA (450 nucleotides) under uncultured Glomus. Its description in RNAcentral is "bacterial SSU rRNA". It matches the Rfam family "Eukaryotic small subunit ribosomal RNA", at positions 569 to 1013 of the family's 1831-position model. Lineage: Eukaryota; Fungi; Glomeromycota; Glomeromycetes; Glomerales; Glomeraceae. The record is from RNAcentral.
AGCAGCCGCGGUAAUUCCAGCUCCAAUAGCGUAUAUUAAAGUUGUUGCAGCUAAAAAGCUCGUAGUUGAAUUUCGGGAUCAAUUUGCCGGUCGGGACCUCUGGUACGUACUUGUAUUAUUGAUUUCUUUCAUUCUGAUAAAUCAUUGAUGUCAUUAAUUUGAUGACUUUGAGGAAUCGGAACUUUUACUUUGAAAAAUUAGAGUGUUUAAAGCAGGCUUAUUAGGCUUGAAUACAUUAGCAUGGAAUAAUGAAAUAGGACGAUUGAUCCUAUUUUUGUUGGUUUCUAGGAUUGACGUAAUGAUUAAUAGGGAUAGUUGGGGGGGGCAUUAGUAUUCAAUUGUCAGAGGUGAAAUUCUUGGAUUUAUUGAAGACUAACUACUGCGAAAGCAUUUGCCAAGGAUGUUUUCAUUAAUCAAGAACGAAAGUUAGGGGAUCGAAGACGAUCAGAU